CACCAUCGCUCGUCAUCUCCUUCUUCACUCUCUCUGUUUCUCUCCACCACAAGACCACCCUAUUCAACCUCCAUUAAUACGCCUGAAUAUUCACCACUCAUGGUAUCAAUUCCACCAACGACCAUCAUUGACAGGCACAUCCUCCAAAUCACGGUCUCAACUUCCAUUUAAAAUACCAAUAGUAACCUCCAUUCCACUUUUCACAUUCAUCACCAUUUUUCAUGGUGAAACUUCUUUCAAUAUAAUAUUCAAAACGCAUAUAAACACAACACACUCAUAAUUCAAAGGACUUCUCAACAAGAUAGUUCAUAAUUGACAUAUACAAUCAUAUAGCUGAAAGAAAAGUCACCGAAAUUCAAU
RNAcentral lists this long non-coding RNA (360 nucleotides) under Capsicum annuum. RNAcentral describes it as "long non-coding RNA (CANN_LNC004603)". The record is from RNAcentral. Lineage: Eukaryota; Viridiplantae; Streptophyta; Magnoliopsida; Solanales; Solanaceae.